GAAGAACGCUAGCGGCAGGCCUUAUACAUGCAAGUCGAGGGGCAGCAUUUACUUCGGUAAAUGGCGACCGGCGCACGGGUGAGUAACGCGUAUGCAACCUACCUUUAACUGGGGCAUAGCUCGAGGAAACUCGAAUUAAUUCCCCAUAGUACAUUAUAAUAUCUCAUGAUAUAAAUGUUAAAGAUUUAUCGGUUAAAGAUGGGCAUGCGUCUGAUUAGUUUGUUGGUAAGGUAACGGCUUACCAAGACUACGAUCAGUAGGGGGUCUGAGAGGAUGAUCCCCCACACUGGUACUGAGACACGGACCAGACAUCUACGGAUGGCAGCAGUAAGGAAUAUUGGGCAAUGGGCGCAAGCCUGACCCAGCCAUGCCGCGUGCAGGAUGACGACCCUAUGGGUUGUAAACUGCUUUUAUAUAGGAAGAAAAUACUCUUGCGAGAGGAUCUGACGGUACUAUAUGAAUAAGGACCGGCUAACUCCGUGCCUGCGACA
This 491-nucleotide ribosomal RNA is filed under the name uncultured bacterium. RNAcentral's name for it is "bacterial SSU rRNA". It matches the Rfam family "Bacterial small subunit ribosomal RNA", at positions 28 to 516 of the family's 1533-position model. The record is from RNAcentral.